This 253-nucleotide ribosomal RNA is filed under the name uncultured bacterium. RNAcentral's name for it is "partial 16S ribosomal RNA". It matches the Rfam family "Bacterial small subunit ribosomal RNA", at positions 524 to 776 of the family's 1533-position model. The record is from RNAcentral.
UACGAAGGGAGCUAGCGUUGUUCGGAAUCACUGGGCGUAAAGCGCACGUAGGCGGAUUUGCCAGUCAGGGGUGAAAUCCCGGGGCUCAACCUCGGAACUGCCUUUGAUACAGCAAGUCUUGAGUUCGAGAGAGGUGGGUGGAAUUCCUAGUGUAGAGGUGAAAUUCGUAGAUAUUCGCAAGAACACCAGUGGCGAAGGCGGCUCACUGGCCCGAUACUGACGCUGAGGCACGAAAGCGUGGGUAGCAAACAGG